This 309-nucleotide long non-coding RNA is filed under the name Nicotiana benthamiana. RNAcentral's name for it is "long non-coding RNA (NBEN_LNC025046)". Lineage: Eukaryota; Viridiplantae; Streptophyta; Magnoliopsida; Solanales; Solanaceae. The record is from RNAcentral.
AUUGAAGUCUCCCAGAGUAUGACAAUGUUCUAGCAGUCCAAGAGGUGAUUUUAGCUGUGAUUUUCUCCACUAAUGGUUGCCAUUGUAGUAGGGCAAUUUUCUUGGUGCUCAGUGGUACUCCCAGGUACUUGAAAGGCAGUUGGCAUUGUUCAUAUCCAAGAUGGUCAAGGAUGCUUCUGUACAGGUAUUGAUACUCCUCCAAAAUAGACAGAGCUCUUGUUCAAGUUGGCAUUGAGACCUGAGGUUGCAGAGAAUUGGGAGAAGCAGUUGGAUAAUGCCUUGACAGAUUGGAGGUCUCCCUUGGUAAAN